UUUUAUAACAUUAUCUAUACAUAUAAUAAAAUCGUAGAAAAGUGCUGUCUGUACAUUGAAAAUAAAAAUAAAAAAAAUAGCAGGGGUUAUUGUUAUGUCGAUGUCGAACCCAAAAAUGUAAUUAACUUUUUUUUUGUCUGUUUGUCUGUUUGUCUGUUUGUCUGUUUGUCUGUUUGUCUGUUUGUCUGUUUGUCUGUUCGUCUGUGCGCGCUAAUCUCAGAAACGGCUGAUCCGAGUUGGAUGCGGUUUUCACGAAUAUAUUGUGGGAUGCUUAAAUUUACAUUUAGUGUUUGUUUCAUGUCAAUCGGUUCAUAAAUAAAAAAGUUAUGUCAAAUUAAAGAAUCACGUCGAACAUUCUAUGCUUAUACCAUUAAUCUCCGCAACUAUUUGACGGAUUUGGUUGAAAUUUGGUACAGAUAUAGUUUAGAACCUUAGAAAGGACAUAGAUAUAUUUUUAUUUCAAAAAUCAAAAAAUAAAAAUAAGAAAUAAAUUAUUUAUAAAUAAUUCUAUGUCGAUCGUUACACGACUUCGGUUCAUGUUAUUGUUUUAAUUCAUCGAAAAAAAGUAAAUAAAUAGUAAAAAGGUAUGAAAAAAAUAAUAUCAAUAUAAUAAAACAUUUAGUACAAAGAAAAUGCUCUAACGGAGUAUAGAUAAUUCUAUGUCGAUCGUUACACGACUUCGGUUCAUGUUAUUGUUUUAAUUCAUCGAAAAAAAGAAAAUAAAUAGUAAAAAGGUAUGAAAAAAAUAAUAUCAAUAUAAUUAAAAUUUUAGUACAAAGAAAAUGCCCGAACGGAGUAUAAAUAAAUAAUCCAAAUUGUCUUUAUCCUCGAUAGAUCGAAAUAGAUCGCGCUAUGGUUUCGUUACAUUCAUUUGGUUGGGUAUCGGCCGAGCGCUUCGGUACUAUCGUAGAAAAAGUGUAUUAUCAGUCGUAUGAUUAUUUGUCUGUAGUGGUCCUGCUGUUUCGUAUAUUCUAAAUUGGUUUCGUUGUAUUUGUCAAUUAAUAAGUUUAUUUGUUGGGUUUUCCUGGUUUUUUGGUUAAACUAUUUAACGUAGGUUUAGUUUGAUAUCGAUUAUUAGUAGUUACUGUAGUUAGUUUUUUUAAUAAAAUUGUAAGUCUAAUUUUUUUUUUAAUUAGAUUAGAUUUAAGUCGUUUCUUUUAAAUUAUUUAGUUUAAGCUUGGUUAUUAUAGCAUAGAGGAUAGGUUGUAAUAAAGUUUCUUUUUUAAUUGUUAUAAAUUCGUAAUUCGUAGCUUUCUUUAGUUUUAAGUUAGUUUAAGUCCGUUUUUAAACUAUUUUUUCAAUGCCCUAAGUGAGUAUACAUCUAUUAAAUUCAAACGCAGAGCUCAUUAUGUUGAUUUUUGCAGAGUUCCCUGGAAUAUCUUCCAUAUCUCAUUUUUGAAGAGAUCCCGCGAGAUCGGGAACUAUGUGGUUAAAACCAAAAAUUUGCCGGAAGUCACUAUUCCACGCGAACGAAGUCGCGGGCAAAAGCU
Molecule: long non-coding RNA, 1490 nt
Organism: Spodoptera frugiperda (fall armyworm)
Lineage: Eukaryota; Metazoa; Arthropoda; Insecta; Lepidoptera; Noctuidae
Exons: 3
Source: RefSeq, a predicted model, not a curated record